CCUACGGGAGGCAGCAGUGGGGAAUCUUGCGCAAUGGGCGAAAGCCUGACGCAGCCAUGCCGCGUGAAUGAUGAAGGUCUUAGGAUUGUAAAAUUCUUUCACCGGGGACGAUAAUGACGGUACCCGGAGAAGAAGCCCCGGCUAACUUCGUGCCAGCAGCCGCGGUAAUACGAAGGGGGCUAGCGUUGCUCGGAAUUACUGGGCGUAAAGGGAGCGUAGGCGGAUAGUUUAGUCAGAGGUGAAAGCCCAGGGCUCAACCUUGGAAUUGCCUUUGAUACUGGCUAUCUUGAGUGUGGGAGAGGUAUGUGGAACUCCGAGUGUAGAGGUGAAAUUCGUAGAUAUUCGGAAGAACACCAGUGGCGAAGGCGACAUACUGGCCCAUUACUGACGCUGAGGCUCGAAAGCGUGGGGAGCAAACAGGAUUAGAUACCCUGGUAGUCCACGCUGUAAACGAUGAGUGCUAGUUGUCGGCAUGCAUGCAUGUCGGUGACGCAGCUAACGCAUUAAGCACUCCGCCUGGGGAGUACGGUCGCAAGAUUAAAACUCAAAGGAAUUGACGG
Molecule: ribosomal RNA, 560 nt
Filed under: uncultured bacterium
Lineage: Bacteria
Description: bacterial SSU rRNA
Rfam family: Bacterial small subunit ribosomal RNA
Source: RNAcentral